GUUCUUUUAGUUCAAUGGUUAGAACAAGUGGCUACGGACUACUAGAUGUAGGUUCGACUCCUGCAGAGAAUA
This 72-nucleotide transfer RNA is filed under the name Babjeviella inositovora NRRL Y-12698. It matches the Rfam family "tRNA". From Rfam's summary of the family: Transfer RNA (tRNA) molecules are approximately 80 nucleotides in length. Their secondary structure includes four short double-helical elements and three loops (D, anti-codon, and T loops). The record is from Rfam by way of RNAcentral. Lineage: Eukaryota; Fungi; Ascomycota; Pichiomycetes; Serinales.